GGCGCACGGUGGAUGCCUUGACACUAGGAGUCGAUGAAGGACGGGACUAACACCGAUAUGCUUCGGGGAGCUGUAAGUAAGCUUUGAUCCGGAGAUUUCCGAAUGGGGAAACCCACCAUACGUAAUGGUAUGGUAUCUUUAUCUGAAUACAUAGGGUAAAGAGGACAGACCCAGGGAACUGAAACAUCUAAGUACCUGGAGGAAGAGAAAGCAAAUGCGAUUUCCUGAGUAGCGGCGAGCGAAACGGAAUCUAGCCCAAACCAAGAGGCUUGCCUCUUGGGGUUGUAGGACAUUCUAUACGGAGUUACAAAGGAACGAGGUAGACGAAGCAGCCUGGAAAGGCUCGUCAUAGAAGGUAACAACCCUGUAGUUGAAACUUCGUUCCCUCUUGAAUGUAUCCUGAGUACGGCGGAACACGUGAAAUUCCGUCGGAAUCUGGGAGGACCAUCUCCCAAGGCUAAAUACUACCUAGUGAUCGAUAGUGAACCAGUACCGUGAGGGAAAGGUGAAAAGCACCCCGGAAGGGGAGUGAAAGAGAUCCUGAAACCGUGUGCCUACAAAUAGUCAGAGCCCGUUAACGGGUGAUGGCGUGCCUUUUGUAGAAUGAACCGGCGAGUUACGAUCCCGUGCGAGGUUAAGCUGAAGAGGCGGAGCCGUAGCGAAAGCGAGUCUGAAUAGGGCGUUUAGUACGUGGUCGUAGACCCGAAACCAGGUGAUCUACCCAUGUCCAGGGUGAAGUUCAGGUAACACUGAAUGGAGGCCCGAACCCACGCACGUUGAAAAGUGCGGGGAUGAGGUGUGGGUAGCGGAGAAAUUCCAAUCGAACCUGGAGAUAGCUGGUUCUCCCCGAAAUAGCUUUAGGGCUAGCCUUAAGUGUAAGAGUCUUGGAGGUAGAGCACUGAUUGAACUAGGGGUCCUCAUCGGAUUACCGAAUUCAGUCAAACUCCGAAUGCCAAUGACUUAUCCUUAGGAGUCAGACUGCGAGUGAUAAGAUCCGUAGUCAAAAGGGAAACAGCCCAGACCGCCAGCUAAGGUCCCAAAGUGUGUAUUAAGUGGAAAAGGAUGUGGAGUUGCUUAGACAACUAGGAUGUUGGCUUAGAAGCAGCCACCAUUUAAAGAGUGCGUAAUAGCUCACUAGUCGAGUGACUCUGCGCCGAAAAUGUACCGGGGCUAAAUACACCA
RNAcentral lists this ribosomal RNA (1182 nucleotides) under Bacillus pseudomycoides. RNAcentral describes it as "partial 23S ribosomal RNA". It matches the Rfam family "Bacterial large subunit ribosomal RNA", at positions 16 to 1193 of the family's 2925-position model. The record is from RNAcentral. Lineage: Bacteria; Bacillati; Bacillota; Bacilli; Caryophanales; Bacillaceae.